CGCGCAGGCGGAUAUUUAAGUCCGAUGUGAAAUACCAGGGCUUAACCCUGGGGGUGCAACGGAAACUGGGUAUCUUGAGUACAGGAGAGGAAAGUGGAAUUCCACGUGUAGCGGUGAAAUGCGUAGAUAUGUGGAGGAACACCAGUGGCGAAGGCGACUUUCUGGACUGUAACUGACGCUGAGGCGCGAAAGCGUGGGGAGCAAACA
This 207-nucleotide ribosomal RNA is filed under the name uncultured bacterium. RNAcentral describes it as "partial 16S ribosomal RNA". It matches the Rfam family "Bacterial small subunit ribosomal RNA", at positions 568 to 774 of the family's 1533-position model. The record is from RNAcentral.